CCUACGGGUGGCUGCAGUGGGGAAUAUUGGACAAUGGGCGAAAGCCUGAUCCAGCCAUGCCGCGUGUGUGAAGAAGGCCUUCGGGUUGUAAAGCACUUUCAGUGGGGAAGAAAGCCUUGGGGCUAAUACCCUCGAGGAAGGACAUCACCCACAGAAGAAGCACCGGCUAACUCCGUGCCAGCAGCCGCGGUAAUACGGAGGGUGCGAGCGUUAAUCGGAAUUACUGGGCGUAAAGCGCGCGUAGGCGGUCUGAUAAGCCGGUUGUGAAAGCCCCGGGCUCAACCUGGGAACGGCAUCCGGAACUGUCAGGCUAGAGUGCAGGAGAGGAAGGUAGAAUUCCCGGUGUAGCGGUGAAAUGCGUAGAGAUCGGGAGGAAUAUCAGUGGCGAAGGCGGCCUUCUGGACUGACACUGACGCUGAGGUGCGAAAGCGUGGGUAGCAAACAGGAUUAGAUACCCGAGUAGUC
RNAcentral lists this ribosomal RNA (465 nucleotides) under Vreelandella stevensii. RNAcentral's name for it is "partial 16S ribosomal RNA". It matches the Rfam family "Bacterial small subunit ribosomal RNA", at positions 338 to 795 of the family's 1533-position model. Lineage: Bacteria; Pseudomonadati; Pseudomonadota; Gammaproteobacteria; Oceanospirillales; Halomonadaceae. The record is from RNAcentral.